UCCUACCUCGGCGACCUUAUGGCCUCCUUCAGUUCAAAGAUCUCAAUGCAGAGAAGAGCCCUUUUCAGCGGACUUAUGCGACUCAG
This is a non-coding RNA of Arachis ipaensis, 86 nucleotides long. The record is from RefSeq and is a predicted model, not a curated record. Lineage: Eukaryota; Viridiplantae; Streptophyta; Magnoliopsida; Fabales; Fabaceae.